RNAcentral lists this long non-coding RNA (967 nucleotides) under Lonchura striata (white-rumped munia). RNAcentral's name for it is "domestica (Bengalese finch) lncRNA (ENSLSDG00000010109.1)". The record is from RNAcentral. Lineage: Eukaryota; Metazoa; Chordata; Aves; Passeriformes; Estrildidae.
GGGAGGGGGCGGCGGGCCGGAGGGAGCGGGGCGCGGGGAGCGGGGCGCGGGGAGCGGGGAGCGGGGUGCUCCUCCCGAAGGGCGCGGCUGGGACGAGCCGGCACGGGGCAGGUCGCUGAGGUUGGCAGCUGGAGCAGGGGCACUCCUGGAGCAGUGGCUGCAGGCACAGGACUGAGAAAGUGUCCAUCCCAGACGUGUGGAAAGCAACAGGUGGAUGCGGAGUUCCGUGUGAAGCGCUCGGCCGCUGUGCUGUCUCAGAGGAUGAGGAGGGAGAAGUGUCAGCCCCUGUCUCGCUUCUGUCGCACAGCUGGAGCGGGCAGGGCGCCUCGCAGCCAUGUUGGGUACGGGCAGCAGGAGCUCACCGUGCCCCUCCGUUUUCUGGGCAGGAAGUCCGUGGAAAUGUUACCGUAGCCAUCAUAACUGCGGGCAGGAACAGCCUGCUCCGUGUCCAUCUUGGGUAAGGGAAAGGGAGCUCUGCAGGGGACUGUCACUGUCACAUCUGUCCCCUGCAGAGCUGCUGUCUGUUUCAGGCGGAUGAAAUGCAGCUUACAUAGUUCAUGUGCAUACCUGAAAAACAUCUGGAUUUUGGCUUGAGUGUGUCAAAGUCUUAAUGACUUGAUGAAAAAAUGAGAUCUUUUGCUGAAGGAAGCCUGUCCUGAAUUCUGAGCUAACUGACUUAGAAAGAAAAACACCGAGCAGCAUUAUAGGCAACUCAGUGCCAGAUUUCUGCCUACGGAGCAAUGAUGGUCUAAAAGGCUUCCAAAAUAAUUAAUAUAUAUCAGACUGAGUUUUCAGUGCAGAGGUAUGAACCAGUUGCUUAGCAGGAGAUGCUGAUUCCAGAGAAGUUGUUACAUUUGAAAUGACUGAGGCAUGCUGUAUAGCAAAAGUCCUAUUUCUAGUGUAAAAAUUAAGAUGCAAACUGAUAAUGAAAUCAGAAUAAACAGAUAAGGAGAAACUUGAAGAUGCA